Molecule: long non-coding RNA, 1605 nt
Filed under: Calidris pygmaea (Spoon-billed sandpiper)
Lineage: Eukaryota; Metazoa; Chordata; Aves; Charadriiformes; Scolopacidae
Description: lncRNA (ENSCPGG00000015239.1)
Source: RNAcentral
GAGCUCGAGAGUUAAUGCGCGGCCUGUUUAGAAACAUCAUAUUCCUCCACGAGUGCUGGGGUAUUUCAGUACAGAUCCAGCUGUGUCUCCUAGAAGAGGAAAGCAGCUUUCUGGUGUCACGGUAAAGGUCCUCCUCCUGGCAGUGGACAGCAGCGAGUGUGGAAGUGUUCCCCAUCCUCUCCCUGAGAGAGUCUAUGUCUGCUUCAUCAAACCCGACUGCCUACAGUAUGCACCAGACUCCAUCACCUUUCUUCACAAAGAAGAUUGCUUGCCCAGAGGAAGGCUCCUCAGACUGCUUGGGACACCUUGCACAGAUGCAUGCCACUGCCUUGAAUUCAGAACGGACACUAAAAGAGAUCCUGAACAUAUUGGUGGAAAUGUGAUCAGUCACCUGCAACUCAGACCCUACCUGUUUGGUAAAGGACCUAUAAGGACAACUAGAACUUCUUGUGAUAUUGCCAAAGUCUUAUCUGAAGGAAAUACAGUAUUUUCCAUACCAUAGUCCACCCAACCCUAAACCAAACUAUUUUGUGUGGAAUGGAGGUUGACAACAGGUAUCAAGUGUUUCUUUUCUGAACGAGCCUGUUAAAAUACUAGUAACCUCUCUACAACUAGUACAGAAGCCUAAUAAGAUUUGAGGGCAGAAUAUGGAAUAUAAUCUAUGGCUAUCUGUGGACCAUUUAUACAUAUAUAUAUAUGCACACAUAUAUAUCUGUGUGUAUAUAUGACUAUAUACACUAUAUAUUUUUUUUCCUUGAACAAGCUAUUUUGAUAUAGGCGAAUAUAGGAUGCUGAAUUAUGAGAGAGUAACAGCAAAAUUUGCCACCAAGCCCUUUUUUUUUUUCAUGCAUAGCAACACAAAAAUUAUCAAUAUAAUAUAGCACAAUCAAAAAUAUAAAUAGAGUUUCUUAUUUGAGGGAAGUAUAUGAAGAAAACUUGGUGCUCUUCACUAAAUUUUGGAAAGCUCCAAAAUACCACAGAGCUUGUGCAGCAUAAAAAAGUGACAGGGACAGAACAUAAAUUGUACAGUCACACCUAAUGUUAUAUUAAUGAUACUUUUGCACCAAACAUAAGAACAGAAACUGUACUAUGUGCCAUUUAGUUAAUUUAGAGGAAAAAAUAUGUAUACCAAAAAUAUGAGCUCACUGCAGUGAACAAUUCAAAGCUGAAUGCUUUUCACAAUAUAUUUGCAAAAUAAGCAGCAACCUAUUAAAAAGUUAUCUAAGUCUUUACAGUGUGCCAGCCAAACCUCAGAAAAUGACUUAACGUUAAGUGAUUGAAGGCUGAGUUUUGCAGAAACAAUGCAGGUGGAAACCAGUAAGAAUACUGUGUCUGCUGCUGGCUUCAUACUGAAAAUAUCCAUGCUUUGCGUUUGCUGUGGGUUAAUAUAUCUCUUGAAAUGUGUGUAUAUUCAGCUGGUAUUAAGAGAUAGAUGUAUGCCUUAUUAAUGGUGCAUUGUCAUUUGGGAGAAUAUCAGAGAAUACUUUUCAACAUCUCUAGGAAGCUGUCACUCGUUACAAAGCCUGUAGCCCACUAUUUUGAUGUAAACCCACCAUGAUAAAAUGUAUCAAUAAAUGAGCAUUAAAAUACUGUGUGAAGUAAAUC